AUUGAACGCUGGCGGCAUGCCUAACACAUGCAAGUCGAACGAGUGGCGGACGGGUGAGUAAUAUAUCGGAAUGUGCCCGAUAGCGGGGGAUAACUACUGGAAACGGUGGCUAAUACCGCAUACUAUCGGAGCAGCCCAGAGGGGAUUAGCUAGUGGGUGGGGUAAAGGCUCACCAAGGCAACGAUCGCUAGCUGGUCUGAGAGGACGACCAGCCACACUGGGACUGAGACACGGCCCAGACUCCUACGGGAGGCAGCAGUGGGGAAUUUUGGACAAUGGGGGAAACCCUGAUGCAGCCAUGCCGCGUGUAUGAAGAAGGCCUUCGGGUUGUAAAGUACUUUCGGCAGGGAGGCGGUACCUGCAGAAUAAGCACCGGCUAACUCCGUGCCAGCAGCCGCGGUAAUAC
Molecule: ribosomal RNA, 406 nt
Filed under: uncultured bacterium
Lineage: Bacteria
Description: partial 16S ribosomal RNA
Rfam family: Bacterial small subunit ribosomal RNA
Source: RNAcentral